RNAcentral lists this ribosomal RNA (377 nucleotides) under uncultured bacterium. RNAcentral's name for it is "bacterial SSU rRNA". It matches the Rfam family "Bacterial small subunit ribosomal RNA", at positions 523 to 898 of the family's 1533-position model. The record is from RNAcentral.
AUACGUAGGGGGCGAGCGUUGUCCGGAAUUACUGGGCGUAAAGGGCGUGUAGGCGGCCUGUUAAGUCAGGCGUGAAAACCCCGGGCUUAACCUGGGGACUGCGUUUGAAACUGGCGGGCUUGAGGGCAGGAGAGGAAAGUGGAAUUCCCGGUGUAGCGGUGAUAUGCGUAGAUACCGGGAGGAACACCAGUGGCGAAGGCGGCUUUCUGGACUGCACCUGACGCUGAGGCGCGAAAGCCAGGGGAGCGAACGGGAUUAGAUACCCUGGUAGUCCACGCCGUAAACGAUGGAUACUAGGUGUAGGAGGUAUCGACCCCUUCUGUGCCGGAGUUAACACAAUAAGUAUCCCACCUGGGGAGUACGGCCGCAAGGUUGAA